This 93-nucleotide unclassified non-coding RNA is filed under the name Campylobacter jejuni. Its description in RNAcentral is "sgRNA from Campylobacter jejuni (PDB 5X2G, chain B)". Lineage: Bacteria; Pseudomonadati; Campylobacterota; Epsilonproteobacteria; Campylobacterales; Campylobacteraceae. The record is from RNAcentral.
GGAAAUUAGGUGCGCUUGGCGUUUUAGUCCCUGAAAAGGGACUAAAAUAAAGAGUUUGCGGGACUCUGCGGGGUUACAAUCCCCUAAAACCGC